UCUAAUAUGGCAGAACCAAGUGCAAUGGACUUAAACCCCAUAUAUAAAGUUUAAACUUUUUUUAGAA
This 67-nucleotide transfer RNA is filed under the name Curculionoidea sp. 20 KM-2017. Its description in RNAcentral is "tRNA-Leu". It matches the Rfam family "tRNA". From Rfam's summary of the family: Transfer RNA (tRNA) molecules are approximately 80 nucleotides in length. Their secondary structure includes four short double-helical elements and three loops (D, anti-codon, and T loops). Further hydrogen bonds mediate the characteristic L-shaped molecular structure. tRNAs have two regions of fundamental functional importance: the anti-codon, which is responsible for specific mRNA codon recognition, and the 3' end, to which the tRNAs corresponding amino acid is attached (by aminoacyl-tRNA synthetases). tRNAs cope with the degeneracy of the genetic code in two manners: having more than one tRNA (with a specific anti-codon) for a particular amino acid; and 'wobble' base-pairing, i.e. permitting non-standard base-pairing at the 3rd anti-codon position. Lineage: Eukaryota; Metazoa; Arthropoda; Insecta; Coleoptera. The record is from RNAcentral.